UACGUAGGGUGCAAGCGUUAAUCGGAAUUACUGGGCGUAAAGCGCACGUAGGCGGCUACUCAAGUCGGGGGUGAAAGCCCGGGGCUCAACCCCGGAACUGCCCUCGAAACUAGGUGGCUAGAAUCUUGGAGAGGUCAGUGGAAUUCCGAGUGUAGAGGUGAAAUUCGUAGAUAUUCGGAAGAACACCAGUGGCGAAGGCGACUGACUGGACAAGUAUUGACGCUGAGGUGCGAAAGCGUGGGGAGCAAACAGG
Molecule: ribosomal RNA, 253 nt
Filed under: uncultured bacterium
Lineage: Bacteria
Description: partial 16S ribosomal RNA
Rfam family: Bacterial small subunit ribosomal RNA
Source: RNAcentral